GAUGAACGCUGGCGGCGUGCCUAAUACAUGCAAGUCGAGCGAACGGACGAGAAGCUUGCUUCUCUGAUGUUAGCGGCGGACGGGUGAGUAACACGUGGAUAACCUACCUAUAAGACUGGGAUAACUUCGGGAAACCGGAGCUAAUACCGGAUAAUAUUUUGAACCGCAUGGUUCAAAAGUGAAAGACGGUCUUGCUGUCACUUAUAGAUGGAUCCGCGCUGCAUUAGCUAGUUGGUAAGGUAACGGCUUACCAAGGCAACGAUGCAUAGCCGACCUGAGAGGGGGAUCGGCCACACUGGAACGGAGACCCGGCCCAGCCCCCGACGGGGGGCGGAAGUGGGGAUUCUUCCAGAAGGGGCGAAAGCCGGACGGGCCACCGCGGGGUGAGGGAUAAAGGUCUUGGGAUCUAAAAACUUUGUUAUUGGGAAAAAAAAUAUGUGAAAGAAACUGUACACAUCUUGACGGUACCUAAUAAGAAACCCACGCCAACCUCCGUC
RNAcentral lists this ribosomal RNA (497 nucleotides) under uncultured bacterium. RNAcentral describes it as "partial 16S ribosomal RNA". It matches the Rfam family "Bacterial small subunit ribosomal RNA", at positions 28 to 507 of the family's 1533-position model. The record is from RNAcentral.